AGGUGCAUUACAGGGCAAUGACUUCUUUGGCAGUAGUUAACUUAUUCAGAUGAUGAAUUAGUAGAUCAGAAUAACUCACUGCCAAAGAAGAUUUGCCCCGCAAUUCACUC
Cicer arietinum (chickpea) is the source of this 110-nucleotide non-coding RNA. The record is from Rfam. NCBI's taxonomy places the organism in Eukaryota, Viridiplantae, Streptophyta, Magnoliopsida, Fabales, Fabaceae.